UACGUAGGGUGCGAGCGUUUGUCCGGAAUUACUGGGCGUAAAGAGUUCGUAGGCGGUUUGUCGCGUCGUUCGUGAAAACUUGGGGCUUAACUCCAAGCGUGCGGGCGAUACGGGCAGACUUGAGUACUACAGGGGAGACUGGAAUUCCUGGUGUAGCGGUGAAAUGCGCAGAUAUCAGGAGGAACACCGGUGGCGAAGGCGGGUCUCUGGGUAGUAACUGACGCUGAGGAACGAAAGCGUGGGUAGCGAACAGG
Molecule: ribosomal RNA, 254 nt
Filed under: uncultured bacterium
Lineage: Bacteria
Description: partial 16S ribosomal RNA
Rfam family: Bacterial small subunit ribosomal RNA
Source: RNAcentral